This 279-nucleotide ribosomal RNA is filed under the name uncultured bacterium. RNAcentral describes it as "partial 16S ribosomal RNA". It matches the Rfam family "Bacterial small subunit ribosomal RNA", at positions 506 to 784 of the family's 1533-position model. The record is from RNAcentral.
UGCCAGCCGCCGCGGUAAUACGGAGGGUGCAAGCGUUGCUCGGAAUCACUGGGCGUAAAGAGAGUGUAGGCGGCCCCAUAUGUCUGACGUGAAAGCCCCGGGCUCACCCCGGGAAGUGCGUUGGAAACUGUAGGGCUAGAGUCUUGGAGAGGGAGGUGGAAUUCCAGGUGUAGCGGUGAAAUGCGUAGAUAUCUGGAAGAACACCGGUGGCGAAGGCGACCUCCUGGACGAUGACUGACGCUGAGACUCGAAAGCGUGGGGAGCAAACAGGAUUAGAUA